This 183-nucleotide non-coding RNA is filed under the name Enterococcus asini. Lineage: Bacteria; Bacillati; Bacillota; Bacilli; Lactobacillales; Enterococcaceae. The record is from RNAcentral.
AUGCUACAAUGAAGAAAAUUCAAUAAUGGCACAAAAGUCAGCGGGAACGAGGUGCAACUCCUCGACAGUCCCUUUCUACUGUAACACGGACGAACGCUCACCACUCACUGGGUAUAAGCUUGGGAAGAGGAGCAAGUAGGAGGAAGUGAAGUCAGGAUACCGCUGAUUUUUGGCACUGGGCAU